This 478-nucleotide ribosomal RNA is filed under the name uncultured bacterium. Its description in RNAcentral is "bacterial SSU rRNA". It matches the Rfam family "Bacterial small subunit ribosomal RNA", at positions 8 to 512 of the family's 1533-position model. The record is from RNAcentral.
AGAGUUUGAUCAUGGCUCAGGACGAACGCUGGCGGUGUGCUUCACACAUGCAAGUCGAACGGGGUAGCAAUAUCCAGUGGCGGACGGGUGAGUAACGCGUGGGAAUCUGCCUUUAGAUGGGGGAUAGCAAACCGAAAGGUUUAUUAAUACCGCAUAUGUAUACAUCACGACAGUGGAGUAUAUGAAAGGAGUAAUCCGUCUGAAGAUGAGCCCGCGUCCGAUUAGCUAGUUGGUAGGGUAAAGGCCUACCAAGGCGACGAUCGGUAGGUGGUCUGAGAGGAUGAUCACCCACAAUGGGACUGAGACACGGCCCAUACUCCUACGGGAGGCAGCAGUGGGGAAUUUUGUGCAAUGGGCGAAAGCCUGACACAGCGACACCGUGUGAGCGAAGAAGCCCUUUGGGGUGUAAAGCUCUGUCAGCUGGAACGAAAAAAAUGACGGUACCAGCAGAGGAAGCAUCGGCUAACUACGUGCCAGC